CCAAAAAUUCCCCCAAGAGCAAGCAUGGUGCGACAGUGCGACGAAAAACUCCCUUUUAAGAAGAAACCUCGGUCAGACCCAGGCUCUUGGUAGGCGGUGUGUGACAGUGCCGGUUGGGGAUGUGAUG
Molecule: long non-coding RNA, 127 nt
Organism: Etheostoma spectabile (orangethroat darter)
Lineage: Eukaryota; Metazoa; Chordata; Actinopteri; Perciformes; Percidae
Exons: 2
Source: RefSeq, a predicted model, not a curated record